ACAGCCAUAUCAUACUAAAACACUGAUUCUCAUCUGAUCAGCAUAGUUAAGCAACAUUUAGCCUGGUCAGUACUUAGAUGGAUGUCUGCUUAGGAAUACUAGGUGCUGUAAG
Non-coding RNA from Acanthosepion pharaonis, 112 nucleotides. The record is from the annotation of a GenBank genome assembly. Lineage: Eukaryota; Metazoa; Mollusca; Cephalopoda; Sepiida; Sepiidae.